GAUGCAUGAGAACAUGACUAGAGAAAUCAAAACCACUGGUGAUGGUUAGAAGCAGCAACAACACCUGCACAAAAAGAAGAGGGACAGGCAGGACGACAUGAAAAUGGUGUUCAAACUUCAACCAAGAGAAGGCCUUAAAGUACUACUUACGUACUCGAGGAGAAGUAGAAGAGGCAGCAGAGAUAUGAGGAGUUGGCAGGCAGCAAGUUAAGGAAAGAGGCUACAGAGGAAAACAUUGACAUACUAUGACAACAAGUCGCAGAACAAGAAUGAGCUCAAGCAGGAAAUUCAUGGAACUCUGGUGAGAUGCCCAAUACCAUUACUGAAGAUAACAAUGCUAAAGAUGGAUUUGAUGCCAUCCAACACCAAUCCCAUCAGACUAACUCUGAUUUUGGUGUCUCGAUCAAUAAAUUGAGCCUAGUCGCGUAUCAACUGCGCGUCCGCUGAUUCUGCAUUGAAUAUAAGUCAUGGUACUGAAGACCUCGUAUGUUUUUCUUUUCACGGAGAUCAUGAGACCAACAAAGAGAAAAGCAUGAGACCUCCAAUCAUUGAUUAUGCCGGGAACUGGUUGACACACCACCGAGAUCCACCUAUUCAGUAUCUGGAUACUAGUUGUGACAGAGAUAUGGAGAAGAUUUACGAUUCAGAAGUUUAUAUAUAAGUUCAGAAUCUGGUUUAGACAUUCAAUAAGAGCACGGCUGUAGGACUCAAAAACCCCAUGGACAUGAUGCAGAUGCCUAUGGAGGUGUUCACCUAUGAGAUAAACUGGACGGUGGUUUCCAAGGUGUUCACCUAUUCGAGUCAUCAUGAUUUGCAUGAGGCAAUGAGACAUUGAAUGAUUAAAGAAGUUAUGAAGCUUCUUGAGAAGGAAAUGCCAGUGUGGUUGGUCAGGUCGUCGACAACAUCAAAAAACAAAACCGUCCAUCCCAAAUGCUGGAGCUGCUUGAACUCUCAAUUCUAUGCUGAAACAAUUGUCUGAACUCUAUGGAGGACGCUCUCAUACUAGUAAAAAUAUUUGAGACAGCAUUUCCUGUAUCUGUCGAGCGUGGAAGGUAUGCCUACAGACAACAACUUGCGUCAGGAAGAUUCAGUCUGGCACAGAGCACUGAUCGUGUUGGAGGUGUGAUUAAAAGGAAUAGGUGCUACAGUUAUCCAGUGCUUGACUUUGAGACGCUUCAUGAAGCAAACUGGUUAGGGAGUGUGAUUCCGCGGAAUACAGAGAAGUUGCCUUCUUAAGAGGUUGAUUGGGUUUU
This is a long non-coding RNA of Papaver somniferum (opium poppy), 1253 nucleotides long. RefSeq lists it as uncharacterized. The transcript is spliced from 5 exons. The record is from RefSeq and is a predicted model, not a curated record. Lineage: Eukaryota; Viridiplantae; Streptophyta; Magnoliopsida; Ranunculales; Papaveraceae.